GACGAACGCUGGCGGCGUGCCUAAUACAUGCAAGUUGAGCGCUGAAGGUUGGUACUUGUACCAACUGGAUGAGCAGCGGACGGGUGAGUAACGCGUGGGGAAUCUGCCUUUGAGCGGGGGACAACAUUUGGAAACGAAUGCUAAUACCGCAUAAAAACUUUAAACACAAGUUUUAAGUUUGAAAGAUGCAAUUGCAUCACUCAAAGAUGAUCCCGCGUUGUAUUAGCUAGUUGGUGAGGUAAAGGCUCACCAAGGCGAUGAUACAUAGCCGACCUGAGAGGGUGAUCGGCCACAUUGGGACUGAGACACGGCCCAAACUCCUACGGGAGGCAGCAGUAGGGAAUCUUCGGCAAUGGACGAAAGUCUGACCGAGCAACGCCGCGUAAGUGAAGAAGGUUUUCGGAUCGUAAAACUCUGUUGGUAGAGAAGAACGUUGGUGAGAGUGGAAAGCUCAUCAAGUGACGGUAACUACCCAGAAAGGGACGGCUAACUACGUG
This 497-nucleotide ribosomal RNA is filed under the name uncultured bacterium. RNAcentral describes it as "partial 16S ribosomal RNA". It matches the Rfam family "Bacterial small subunit ribosomal RNA", at positions 28 to 507 of the family's 1533-position model. The record is from RNAcentral.